This 23-nucleotide microRNA is filed under the name Tribolium castaneum (red flour beetle). RNAcentral's name for it is "tca-miR-3844-5p". The record is from miRBase by way of RNAcentral. Lineage: Eukaryota; Metazoa; Arthropoda; Insecta; Coleoptera; Tenebrionidae.
AGGCACCUCAGAAAACCCCACGC